This 301-nucleotide ribosomal RNA is filed under the name uncultured bacterium. Its description in RNAcentral is "partial 16S ribosomal RNA". It matches the Rfam family "Archaeal small subunit ribosomal RNA", at positions 459 to 759 of the family's 1478-position model. The record is from RNAcentral.
CAGUCGCCACGGUAACACCAGCAGCCCAAGUGGUGGUCGCGAUUAUUGGGCCUAAAGCGCUCGUAGCCGGGCCGGUAAGUCCCUUGUGAAAUCGGACGGCCUAACCGUUCGGCGUGCAAGGGAUACUGUCGGUCUUGAGGCCGGGAGACGUCCGAGGUACUCCGGGGGUAGCGGUGAAAUGUUCUGAUCCUCGGGGGACCACCGGUGGCGAAGGCGUUCGACGAGAACGGGCCUGACGGUGAGGGGCGAAGGCUAGGGGAGCAAACGGGAUUAGAUACCCCAGUAGUCCCUGUCUCUUAUA